CUUGGUCAUUUAGAGGAAGUAAAAGUCAUAACAAGGUUUCCGUAGGUGAACCUGCGGAAGGAUCAUUAAUAGUGCCCAUUGAUGCAAAUCAUUGGGUUAGAUCUGCCCUUAUCGCAAGAUGAGGGCUUCCAUAUACACCGUGAACUGUGGCUUCGGCCAUCACAAACUGUUAGUAAUGAAUGUAAUAUCAUAACAAAAACAAAACUUUUAACAACGGAUCUCUUGGCUCUCGCAUCGAUGAAGAACGCAGCGAAAUGCGAUAAGUAAUGUGAAUUGCAGAAUUCAGUGAAUCAUCGAAUCUUUGAACGCACCUUGCGCCCUUUGGUAUUCCGAAGGGCAUGCCUGUUUGAGUGUCAUGAAACCUCACCCCACUUAGGUUUUUGCCUAAGCGGUGGUGUAUUGGGUGUUUGCCUUGCUAAAGGCUCGCCUUAAAGAUAUAAGCACCUUGGAUGUAAUACGUUUCAUCCUUCUGGGUGGCUGAUAACCCCACAUACUCAUGAUCUGGCCUCAAAUCAGGUAGGGCUACCCGCUGAACUUAAGCAUAUCAAUAAGCGGAGGAAAAGAGACUAACUAGGAUUCCCUUAGUAACGGCGAGUGAACCGGGAUGAGCUCAAAUUUAAAAUCUGGCGUCUUUCAGGCGUCCGAGUUGUAAUCUAUAGAGGCGUUUUCCGCGCCGGACCGCGUCCAAGUCUCUUGGAAUAGAGUAUCAAAGAGGGUGACAAUCCCGUACUUGACGCGACAACCGGUGCUCUGUGAUACGUUCUCAAUGAGUCGAGUUGUUUGGGAAU
This 788-nucleotide small RNA is filed under the name uncultured Cryptococcus. RNAcentral's name for it is "eukaryotic LSU rRNA". The stretch from base 503 to 788 matches the Rfam family "Eukaryotic large subunit ribosomal RNA", at positions 1 to 281 of the family's 3401-position model. Lineage: Eukaryota; Fungi; Basidiomycota; Tremellomycetes. The record is from RNAcentral.